GACGAACGCUGGCGGCGUGCUUAACACAUGCAAGUCGAACGGUAAGGCCCUUCGGGGUACACGAGUGGCGAACGGGUGAGUAACACGUGGGUGAUCUGCCCUGCACUUCGGGAUAAGCCUGGGAAACUGGGUCUAAUACCGGAUAGGACCCUGGGAUGCAUGUCCUGGGGUGGAAAGCUUUUGCGGUGUGGGAUGGGCCCGCGGCCUAUCAGCUUGUUGGUGGGGUGAUGGCCUACCAAGGCGACGACGGGUAGCCGGCCUGAGAGGGUGACCGCCCACACUGGGAGUGAGGUACGGCCCAGACCCAUAGGGGAGGCAGCGGGGGGGAUUUUUGCAAAGGGGGCGCAAGCCUGAUGCGGCGCCGCGGGGUGGGGGAGGCCGGCCUGCGGGUUGUAACCCUCUUUCAGCACCGACGAAGCGAAAGUGACGGUAGGGGAAGAAAAAGGACCGGCAAACUACGUGCCAGCGGCCGCCGUAA
RNAcentral lists this ribosomal RNA (478 nucleotides) under uncultured bacterium. RNAcentral describes it as "partial 16S ribosomal RNA". It matches the Rfam family "Bacterial small subunit ribosomal RNA", at positions 28 to 523 of the family's 1533-position model. The record is from RNAcentral.